Carica papaya (papaya) is the source of this 1000-nucleotide non-coding RNA. The record is from RefSeq and is a predicted model, not a curated record. Lineage: Eukaryota; Viridiplantae; Streptophyta; Magnoliopsida; Brassicales; Caricaceae.
GGAAGUCUAAGAAAUGGAAAGAAGAGGAGUCGUGCUCGGUCAUCACGAGUCACUGUGAGUGAGCAAGAUAACCAUGGUAGUGAUGGGGGCUCUGAUAGUGUUACAACCGGACAGCGCAGGAGGAGACGACAAAAAGUUAUUCCUGAUGUGCAAACCCGAGGCGAGACUCGUUAUAAUCUCCGGCGACCCAAAGUUGGAGUGGCUGUUAAAAAGGAUUCAUCUCGCUCGAAAAAGGAAAUUGAGAAGGUUGACGAUGUUAGAGUUGCAGAGGAUAGAAUAGUUUAUUCCAAAGCUGCUCCUUCCUCUUCAGUUGGAGUUGCUAGUGAGAAUGGGGGAAGUGCCUACUUAGUGAAGUGUGGGACAACGGUGGAUGCGACACCAGAAAAGAAGGUUCAGAAUGUUGCGGUGAGUGAAGAAGUGAAUGGAACACGUGAAGGGGAUGCGGAGUAUGGUGAUGGAAAUGAAUACAGUCAGGGGGAUAUUGCUGUGGCUGUUGAGGUUGAAGAUGAGGGUGAGAGCGAGGAUGAUGAUAAUGACCAAGAAGAUUCUGAGCAUCCCGGUGAAGUGUCAAUAGGAAAGAAGCUGUGGACUUUUUUCACAACAUAACGUGGAACGGUAAUCCUCAUUCAGCGGAAAUUUUAGCAUGGCCUUGGGUAGGAAUCAAUCAACCUUUUCAAGUUGGGUUUUAGGAGGUUUUGUCUUUCGGGUUAGUAGUCAUCAGUGUUAACCAUUUUUUUUUUUAAAAUGUAGUUAUAGAGUCGUGAAGUCUGAAUUCAGAUUUAUGUAUUUGGGGUACUACGAUUUCCAAUCUCAGUUUAGGAGUUAAAUAAUGUUUGGGUUUGUUUUGAUUUGUCAGUAAAAGUGGUAGAUGAUUCGAAAGUGUCAAUGCCCAGUGAACAUUUUAAACACUGGAAUUGCUUCCAUAUCCUCAUUGUUUGUACCAAAUGCUAGUAUUUCUUUCUUUUUGCUGCAAUGAUUGUUGGAAAGUAUGUGUUCGCAA